CCUCUUGCAAAAUCAACGAAUAAGAGGUCCCGCCUGCCCUGUGACUAUAUGUUUAACGGCCGCGGUAUUUUGACCGUGCGAAGGUAGCGCAAUCACUUGUCUUUUAAAUGGAGACCUGUAUGAAUGGCAUCACGAGGGCUUAACUGUCUCCCCUCCCCAGUCAAUGAAAUUGAUCUCCCCGUGCAGAAGCGGGGAUGAAAACAUAAGACGAGAAGACCCUAUGGAGCUUUAGACGUCAGAGCAGCCCAUGUUAAACAUCCCUAAACUUAAAGGAAAAAACCAAAUGAAGCCUGCCCUAAUGUCUUUGGUUGGGGCGACCGCGGGGAAAUACAAAACCCCCAUGUGGAAUAGGAACACAUGUUCCUAAACCCAAGAGCUCCCGCUCUAAUGAACAGAAAUUCUGACCAACAAGAUCCGGCACAUGCCGAUCAACGGACCGAGUUACCCUAGGGAUAACAGCGCAAUCCCCUUAAAGAGCCCUUAUCGACAAGGGGGUUUACGACCUCGAUGUUGGAUCAGGACAUCCUAAUGGUGCAGCCGCUAUUAAGGGUUCGUUUGUUCAACGAUUAAAGUCCU
RNAcentral lists this ribosomal RNA (576 nucleotides) under Pterogymnus laniarius. RNAcentral describes it as "partial 16S ribosomal RNA". It matches the Rfam family "Bacterial large subunit ribosomal RNA", at positions 1819 to 2597 of the family's 2925-position model. The record is from RNAcentral. Lineage: Eukaryota; Metazoa; Chordata; Actinopteri; Spariformes; Sparidae.